GGAUUAGAUACCCUGGUAGUCCACGCCGUAAACGAUGUUCACUAGCUGUAUGCGAUACACAGUAUGCGGCCGAGCGAAAGCAUUAAGUGAACCACCUGGGGAGUACGUUGGCAACAAUGAAACUCAAAGGAAUUGACGGGGGCCCGCACAAGCGGAGGAACAUGUGGUUUAAUUCGAUGAUACGCGAGGAACCUUACCUGGACUUAAAUGCAGAGUGCAUAGAGUAGAGAUACUCUUUUCUUCGGACUCUUUGCAAGGUGCUGCAUGGUUGUCGUCAGCUCGUGCCG
RNAcentral lists this ribosomal RNA (287 nucleotides) under uncultured bacterium. RNAcentral describes it as "partial 16S ribosomal RNA". It matches the Rfam family "Bacterial small subunit ribosomal RNA", at positions 775 to 1067 of the family's 1533-position model. The record is from RNAcentral.